This 2669-nucleotide small RNA is filed under the name Pan troglodytes (chimpanzee). RNAcentral's name for it is "retained intron". Lineage: Eukaryota; Metazoa; Chordata; Mammalia; Primates; Hominidae. The record is from RNAcentral.
UCACAGACCUAAUAGACCCGGCCUUUCCUCUCUGCCUCUGGCUUUAUGUCUCUUUCAUCCUCCUCUGCCUUUCCCCUGCCCUUGAUCCCUUCUGCAGGUCUUGGCUGGUUUCAGGAAACAGGUCCCAUCCCAUGGACUCCCACUCUGGGGAGCCAGCGCUCCUGCCCUGUGGGACCUGUGACAUGGUUUUCCGCUCCUCAGCUCUGUUAGCCACCCACACUCAGCGCUUCUGCAUUGGCCACCCGACCCAAGAGAUGACAUUUGGAGCACAGGCAUCAGUUGCCACUGAACCCCAGCGGGCCGCGGUUGUGCCACAAGAACACCAGGGCGUGCCACAAGAACCCCAGGGCCUCCCAGACCAGCAGGCCAGUAGAUCUGCUUUAAAGAGGUUAACAGAGGAGGUACAGCUACCUACCUUCCCCCCAGGGCUCAAAACGUUGAGCGUCUUCCCCAAACCUGUAGAUCAUACUUGGGACAGAUUCUGCCCACGCAGAGAUCGCGGAUCGCUGUUACCUCCAGGUGCAGUGGCUGCGGCUAUCCCUACAGGAAAUGCGGCCCUGGAUAACAGAGGUCCCCAGGGUGUUCGCGGGGCCCUGGACACGUUCCGAGGCGCGGCCUCAGAGUCCCAUGUCCGAGGCGGUGGGAAGCCCCAGCGAGCGGCUGCGGGCGCUGUUCAGGACUCGCGCGAGGCGCGUGGCGGAGAUGGAAGCGCAGAGCCGGGCCCUGCAGCUACGCGGCGAGGGUGAAGGAGAUGGGGGACGGGGACCAAGGACCUCCUCUGCCCUCGCCCUUUGGCUUAAGCUUGCUCGGGCCGGUUCUGACUCGGCCCGCAUUCCCUCAGAACUGAGCCGACGCCUCCAAGUUGUGGCCUGUACGCGGGGCGGGAUGUCCCGCCUCUUCGGCCUGGAGCAGGAGAUUCGAGAACUACAAGCUGAGGCCGGGAGGACGCGGGGAGCUCUAGAGGUGUUGGGGGCCCGCAUUCAGGAGCUGCAGGCGGAGCCAGGGAACCCUCUGCGCUCCCGGAGAGAGGCAGAACUUUAUUCUCCAGUGCUAAAGGCCAACCCGGGAACUCUGGCUGCCGAAAUCCGGGCGCUGCGGGAGGCCUACAUUCGAGACGGGGGCCGGGACCCCGGCGUGCUGGGCCAGAUAUGGCAGUUGCAGGUGGAGGCGUCUGCACUGGAGCUGCAGCGGUCGCAGACCCGCAGAGGAAGGGCAGGUGCCACCUCAGGGGAGCUUCCAGUAGUGGAGGCUGAAAACCGGCGCUUGGAGGCAGAAAUCUUGGCUUUGCAAAUGCAGAGGGGUCGGGCACCCUUGGGGCCCCAGGAUCUGCGACUCCUGGGGGAUGCCAGCCUACAACCGAAGGGGAGGAGAGAUCCCCCACUCCUCCCGCCACCGGUGGCACCACCACUGCCACCACUUCCAGGCUUCUCGGAGCCACAGCUUCCUGGAACAAUGACCAGAAACCUGGGCCUGGACUCACACUUCCUCCUGCCCACAUCGGACAUGCUGGGCCCUGCACCCUAUGAUCCUGGGUGAGGCCCAUGCCACCUUCGACAGCCUCUGUGACUUGGCCAGCACUGCUGGUUAAGGGAGCCCACUAGGACCAGAUAGGGUUAGGGACCUGCCUGAGAGGAGGGAGGUUGAAAGGAGUUGGGUAUUUCUGUGCUAAGACUUGUGUUCCCCAGGGCUGGCCUGGUCAUUUUCUAUGAUUUCCUGCGGGGCCUUGAGGCUUCCUGGAUUUGGGUGCAACUAAGGACUGGCUUGGCACGCGAUGGACAGGAUACAGGAAGGACCACAGCGUUGCCCCCAGCCCUUUGCCUGCCCCCACCUCCUGCUCCCGGGCCCAUGGGCAACUGUGCCAUCCUUGCCAGCAGGCAGCCUGUGCCCAGACUACCACCCUCACCAUCAGUAUCUUUGGUCUGUGAGCUGCAGGUCUGGCAGGGGCUGGCAUGGGCUAGGGCACCACAGCCAAAGGCUUGGGUCUCACUUGGACUAUUUGACCAAGAUCAGCGGGUGCUAAGUGGCCGCUGGCGCCUCCCACUUCGGGCCCUUCCUCUGGACCCCAGCCUUAGCCUUGGGCAGCUGAAUGGGAUUCCUCAGGUGAGUGUGGUGCGCAGGGAUUGGGCAUACAGCAAAGUACAAGUGCAAUACCAUUUCAUCUCUCCCCAGGCAGGUCAGGCUGAGCUCUUUCUGCGGCUGGUGAAUGCAAGAGAUGCAGCUGUCCAGACACUGGCAGAGAUCAAUCCAGCAAGUGUCCAUGAGUACCAGUACCCACCUCCGGUGUCCAGCACAUCUUCACUGGAAGCCAACUUCCUCACCCCCACAGUUGGCUUUGCUGAUCCCCCACCUCGUACGGAAGAGCCCCUCAGUGGAGUCAAGGAUAGAGAUGAGGGUUUGGGCCCUCACCACAGUUCUGACUUGCCCCCAGUGAGUUUCUGAACCCAAGUGAAUGUGGAGAUGAGCAUCUGAACAUGCACAGGACUGGGGCCUAUUUCCAGACCUACAGCUUUACUACUCCAUGUUCUGACAUUGGGUCUAGAAGCAUCUAGCAGUUGAGUACAGAAAACCAGUUCCAACCACAGCUUUACCACCUCCCGUGAGUCCUUAACUUUUCUGUACCUCUUCUGUUUUUGUAAAACAGAUUAAGGAUUAAAUGAAUUUGUCAGGUA